RNAcentral lists this unclassified non-coding RNA (225 nucleotides) under Hevea brasiliensis (rubber tree). The record is from RNAcentral. Lineage: Eukaryota; Viridiplantae; Streptophyta; Magnoliopsida; Malpighiales; Euphorbiaceae.
GGAAAUGGCGGGAGUGGGCGUUGAUGAUGUGUUUUGAUUCGGUUAAGACUGUGCAGAGGCUUAGAGAAGAGGGUGGUGGCGUUGCCAUGGAAAAUCUGGCGAAGAUGGGUAGAGAGAAUACAGAAGAAUGUGAUUGAUUGAAAUAGUAAAGCGAACGAAGAAGACGACUACGAAUAUUGUUUGUUAGUUUAAUGGGUUGAUGGCGUAAGAAGAUAAGGACCAAAG